This 939-nucleotide long non-coding RNA is filed under the name Sus scrofa (pig). RNAcentral's name for it is "lncRNA (ENSSSCG00035028309.1, ENSSSCG00065025754.1)". The record is from RNAcentral. Lineage: Eukaryota; Metazoa; Chordata; Mammalia; Artiodactyla; Suidae.
GCCAGCUCUUGGGAUGUACAAGUUCUCCUCAGCUGCACAUUCCAAGGACUGUGUGUGUGACCCAGUGACUGCAUCCAGUCGCCCCUUUUAUAGCCUCCUCUGGGGCAGAAAUGCUGGCCAUGAAGCAAUUUCUCAUCAGAACUACCUUCCUUCUUUGACACACGAAGGGGAAGCUCCUCCUCCAGUCUCUAACAGAAACAUUAAACAGCAGAUUCACAUUUACCCGGAGCACAGAUGACCUUUGGCUCAGGUCGACCAAUCAGAAGAUCGUUGCCAAGCCGAUGUGAGAGGUACAACAGACACAAGGUAAGAGAGAAAGAAGUGAACCUAUUUAUGAACAAAAUCUGCAAGACUUGUUCCUAGAUUGUGGAGACAUGAGAAAGUGGAAGGAACCAAGACUGACUUUUCAGUUUCUAGCUUGAGCACAAGGCGAGAACUUUUGUAUAGUUUGGCUGAUGCUGAAUUACCUUAGAACAUGUUGCCUUUGAAGGACAGGGAGGGGACCAGAAAGCACUAUCCAGCAGGUGCUUGGAUAUUUAGGUCUGGGGACUGAAAAUAGAUCAAGAUAGAAAACACAGUUUGUGGAGUUGUCAAAAUAGGUGAAAUUAGAAGAACUGGAGUGGGGAGAGUAUAUAGAAUCAGAAGAAAAGAGAGCCAGGAAAAUAUCCUUGGGAAACAUUAGUAUUUAAAGGGGUGUAGAAGAAAGAGAACACUGUGGAAGAGACAGAGACUAAAGGAGCAGCCAGAGGAGUAAAGAGUUUUGAAGAGUGAGAGGUCAACUACAUUAAAUGCAGGGAGAAGGCUAAGAAAGUGAAAACUGAAAAUUAAACUUUAGCAUCACAAUGAGGCCAUUGAACCAGCAUUAAAGAUGGUUUCUGUUGAACGGCAUAGGUGGAAAUGACUGCAGUGGCUUAAGAAAUAAAAAGGAAGAAGAAUACA